This 503-nucleotide ribosomal RNA is filed under the name uncultured bacterium. RNAcentral describes it as "bacterial SSU rRNA". It matches the Rfam family "Bacterial small subunit ribosomal RNA", at positions 8 to 518 of the family's 1533-position model. The record is from RNAcentral.
AGAGUUGAUCCUGGCUCAGGAUGAACGCUGGCGGCGUGCCUAACACAUGCAAGUCGAGCGGAGUAUGAGAGGUGCUGCACCACUUUAACUAGCGGCGGACGGGUGAGUAACACGUGAGUAACCUGCCCUUGAGUGGGGAACAACAUCGAGAAAUCGGUGCUAAUACCGCAUAACAUCUCUUUAUCGCAUGUUAGAGAGAUCAAAGGAUUUAUUCGCUUGAGGAUGGACUCGCGUCCGAUUAGUUAGUUGGUGAGGUAACGGCCCACCAAGACAUCGAUCGGUAGCCGAACUGAGAGGUUGAUCGGCCACAUUGGGACUGAGACACGGCCCAGACUCCUACGGGAGGCAGCAGUGGGGAAUAUUGGGCAAUGGGCGAAAGCCUGAACCCCAGCAACGCCGCGUGAAGGACGAAGGUCUUCGGAUUGUAAACUUCUUUGAUCAGGGACGAAACAAAUGACGGUACCUGAAGAACAAGCCACGGCUAACUACGUGCCAGCAGCUGC